AGCGAACGCUGGCGGCAGGCCUAACACAUGCAAGUCGAACGGACCUUUCGGGGUUAGUGGCGGACGGGUGAGUAACACGGGGGAACGUGCCUUUAGGUUCGGAAUAACUCAGGGAAACUUGUGCUAAUACCGAAUGUGCCCUUCGGGGGAAAGAUUUAUUGCCUUUAGGGCGGCCCUCGUCUGAUUAGCUAGUUGGGUGAGGUAAUGGCUCACCAAGGCGACGAUCAGUAGCUGGGCUGAGGGGAUGGAAAGGCACAUUGGGACUGAGACACGGCCCAAACCUCCUCGGGGGGCAGGAGUGGGGUAUCCUGCCGCAUGGGGCAAAACCCUACGGCGCCCAGCCGGGGGAAUUGAGAAGGUCUUAGGAUUGGAAAAUUCUUUCCCCCGGGGACAUAAUGACGGUACCCGGAGAAGAAGCCCCGGCUAACUUCGUG
Molecule: ribosomal RNA, 434 nt
Filed under: uncultured bacterium
Lineage: Bacteria
Description: partial 16S ribosomal RNA
Rfam family: Bacterial small subunit ribosomal RNA
Source: RNAcentral